Molecule: ribosomal RNA, 454 nt
Filed under: uncultured bacterium
Lineage: Bacteria
Description: bacterial SSU rRNA
Rfam family: Bacterial small subunit ribosomal RNA
Source: RNAcentral
UACGGGAGGCAGCAGUGGGGAAUAUUGCACAAUGGGCGCAAGCCUGAUGCAGCCAUGCCGCGUGUAUGAAGAAGGCCUUCGGGUUGUAAAGUACUUUCAGUCGUGAGGAAGGUGUUAAGGUUAAUAACCUUAGCAAUUGACGUUAGCGACAGAAGAAGCACCGGCUAACUCCGUGCUAGCAGCCGCGGUAAUACGGAGGGUGCGAGCGUUAAUCGGAAUUACUGGGCGUAAAGGGCACGCAGGCGGUUAAUUAAGUUGGAUGUGAAAUCCCCGGGCUUAACCUGGGAAUGGCAUUCAAGACUGGUUAGCUAGAGUCUUGUAGAGGGGGUAGAAUUCCAUGUGUAGCGGUGAAAUGCGUAGAGAUGUGGAGGAAUACCGGUGGCGAAGGCGGCCCCUGGGACAAAGACUGACGCUCAUGUGCGAAAGCGUGGGGAGCAAACAGGGAUUAGAUACC